This 506-nucleotide ribosomal RNA is filed under the name uncultured bacterium. RNAcentral describes it as "partial 16S ribosomal RNA". It matches the Rfam family "Bacterial small subunit ribosomal RNA", at positions 28 to 523 of the family's 1533-position model. The record is from RNAcentral.
GAUGGACGCUAGCUACAGGCUUAACACAUGCAAGUCGAGGGGUAACGAGAGGGAAGCUUGCUUUCCUUGUCGACGACCGGCGCACGGGUGAGUAACGCGUAUCCAACCUGCCCCCAACUAGGGAAUAACCUUGCGAAAGUAAGACUAAUACCCUAUAAUUUCCUCAGAUGUCAUCUGACGAGGAAUAAAGAUUUAUCAGUUGUGGAUGGGGAUGCGUCUGAUUAGCUUGUUGGCGGGGUAACUGCCCACCAAGGCAACGAUCAGUAGGGGUUCGGAGAGGAAGGUCCCCCACAUUGGAACUGAGACCCGGUGCAAACUCCGACGGGAGGCAGCAGUGAGGAAUAUUGGUCAAUGGGCGGAAGCCUGAACCAGCCAAGUAGCGUGCAGGAUGACGGCCCUAUGGGUUGUAAACUGCUUUUAUACAGGAAUAAAGUUAGCCACGUGUGGUUAUUUGUAGGUACUGUAUGAAUAAGGACCGGCUAAUUCCGUGCCAGCCGCCGCCGUAA